Molecule: ribosomal RNA, 301 nt
Filed under: uncultured bacterium
Lineage: Bacteria
Description: partial 16S ribosomal RNA
Rfam family: Bacterial small subunit ribosomal RNA
Source: RNAcentral
CAGCAGCCGCGCGGGAAUACGUAGGGUGCAAGCGUUAAUCGGAAUUACUGGGCGUAAAGCGUGCGCAGGCGGUUAUAUAAGUCAGAUGUGAAAUCCCCGGGCUCAACCUGGGAACUGCAUUUGAGACUGUAUGGCUAGAGUGUGUCAGAGGGGGGUAGAACUCCACGUGUAGCAGUGAAAUGCGUAGAUAUGUGGGGGAAUACCGAUGGCGAAGGCAGCCCCCUGGGAUAACACUGACGCUCAUGCACGAAAGCGUGGGGAGCAAACAGGAUUAGAUACCCCCGUAGUCCCUGUCUCUUAU